Molecule: ribosomal RNA, 253 nt
Filed under: uncultured bacterium
Lineage: Bacteria
Description: partial 16S ribosomal RNA
Rfam family: Bacterial small subunit ribosomal RNA
Source: RNAcentral
UACGUAGGGUGCGAGCGUUAAUCGGAAUUACUGGGCGUAAAGUGUGCGCAGGCGGCGGAGCAAGUCGAGUGUGAAAGCCCCGGGCUUAACUUGGGAACUGCGCUCGAAACUACUUUGCUGGAGUGUGGCAGAGGAAGGUGGAAUUCCAGGUGUAGCGGUGAAAUGCGUAGAUAUCUGGAGGAACACCGGUGGCGAAGGCGGCAUCCUGGACCGGUAUUGACGCUGAUGCGCGAAAGCCAGGGGAGCAAACGGG